ACUCUUCCUAACACUACCAACCUAUCUUGGGGAGUGCGGGAGGGUGGGGAACAUUAAAUCCUGGGCUCGGCCUCAGGCCGACAGAGCCGAAAGUGGCCUCGGGAACCUAUGCCUGUUAAAAAAAGAACUACAAGUCCCAGCAGGCUGAGCGGCUACGGCUCUCUGGACCUGCUCGGGAUUGGAGCGUAAUGCAACGUUCUAGGAAAGAGAGUAUUUCUUCUGGGUGUGGCCAACCCGGAUUUGUAGUUCCCAGGCCGGUGUUCCCGUAUGGUCUCACUCUGUCAUGCAUGAUGGACUGCAGUGGUGCAAUCAUGGCUCACUGUAGCUUCGACCACCCUGGCUCCGGUCAUCAUCCUACCUCAGCCUCCCAGGUAUGUGGGAUUACAGUGGUGUCAGUCAUCAACCUUGUGAUCACUGAGGAAAAGAUACAAUAAUCCUUGCCUAUCCGUGAGUUCUGUCUAUAUGUAUUCAACCAAGUUUAGAUUGAAAAUAUUUUGGGGAAAAAUGGAAGGGUGCACCUGUACUGAACAUGUUCCAACAUUUUCUUGUCAUUGUUACUUAAAUAAUACAGUAUAACAACUAUUUACAUAGCAUUUACACUGCUUUAGUAAUUAUAAAUAAUCUAGGGAUGAUUUAUUUAGAUAGUCUAGGAAUGAUUUAAAUAAUCGAGGAUGGUGAUAUAUGGGAGGAUGUACAUAGGUUAUACAUAAAUACUACACCAUUUUAUAUCAGGGUCUCAAACAUUCAUGUACUUUGGUAUCCAACAGGGAUUCUGGAAUCAAUCCUCCACAGAUAGCAAGGGAUAACUGUAUUAGUUUUUCUUUUCUACACUGUUUAAUGGAUGCUGCACCCUUCCUACUCUAGGACCCAACCAGGAUCCUGAGCCCUCACUUUCUCCCUGCGUUCCUCAUGAUCCAUUUGACUAUAAUGCAGAAAGUUUGUUUAGCUACUGGCUGGUAUCUGUAACUCCUAUGACAGCUCACACUCCUUGAAGAAGAAGAGAGAAAACAGAAGACUUGUCCUGUGGAUAGAUUAUUUCUUCUUCUGUUUGUUUGUUCUUUGUAUGCUCUCGACAACAUCCACAUACACAAAUGCACAUACAUAAACACAGAAACUUUUUCUUAACAUGGACAAUCUGAAAGAGAAAGCAGCACAACAACCAUUUUGGAUGAUCGAGACUAUUUUUAUAUUAUUACAGUACAAUUGCAGAAUGAAUUCAAAAGGGCAAGCCCCUAGCAAUGAUAAUGCUAAAUGGCUGGUGGAUGUAAAUAAUUAGUGGUCAAUAUAUUAUCCAUGAUAUGUGGCAAGUUUGAAAGUUGGAAAUGCAGAAUCCCUGUUCUGGUCAUAUUAUUGUACUUGGAUCUGCUGGGAACCAUUUGAUACUCUGGGAUUCUCAUUGAGAAUCCAGUGAUAGCUAAUGUUGAAUAUUGCUUGCUGCUGGGCAACAGUGACUGUCAAAACAUUCCGUCACCACUUUUUUUUUUCAGUUUAGAAAAAGGGUCUUGGAUGUUGCCUAGGCUGGCCGGAAACUCCUGAAGUCAAGUGAUUCUCCUGUCUUUGCCUUUAGUUCUGGAAGUACUGGGAGUGAACCUCUGCACCAGGAUUUCCCUCACCAUUUUCUGUAAAAUGGCUUACUACAAAGAACAUUUCUGUAGUAUAUUUUUAUGUAUGUAUGUAUUAUGUAUUUAUUUAUUUAUUUAUUUUUGAGACAGAGUCACAAUGCUGCCCAGGCCCUAGUGCAGUGGUGUGAUCUUAGCUUACUGCAACAUCUGCUUCUGUGUUCAAGAGAUUCUCCUGCCUUAGCCUGUGGAGUAGCUGGAAUUACAGGUGCACACCACCAAGCCCGGCUAAUUUUUAUCUUCUUUGGUAGAGACCGUGUACACACACACACACACACACACACACACACACACAUUUAGGUAGAUACGAGGUCUCGCUCACAGCAGCUUCAGCAAACACAGAUUUCUGGUGUUGGAGGACAGAUUUAACUACAGAAAAUUCUGUUGGGCAAUCGGAAGCCUCAAUCUAUACAGACUUUUAGGAGGAGCCUGCCUGUUUGGUUCAAAUUUAGCCAAAAUAUUUUUUUUUUACCACUGAUUCAGUAAAUCUCCUAACUUUGCAGGAACUGGGAUCCUAAAAAUUAUGGAACGAAUUGUAGAAACUCAAGCAACUUUCUCCAAAGCCUAGGGUUCAGCAAGAGUAAGCAAGAGGCACUGAGCCGCUGGAGUCUGCACAUUGAUAAAUUUACUUACAGUCGUAAAUAAAUUGCAUCAUCUUCAGCUAGUAACACAGAGUCUAAUUUUUAUAGCGGCAUACUUGCCUCCACGACUUUCCUAGACACCAGAAAGAAAGGCGAGAGCCAGCCUUAGCCUAAUCAAGAACCAUGAUCCAAAAAGGAGUGGGAGGAACCUAGCGGCCACGUGGGAAUCCCAGCCCUCCUAUUAAGCCUACCCUCUUUGCAAAUUGUGACUGUGAGCUCCUGGUUUACAGAAAUAUAUCCCAGAACUCAAGCAACAUGAGCCACUAUAAUUGUCUCUGGAAGGUGACCCAUUUGCAGAUAGGGACUUCCCUGAAGGUUGGGGCCCUCAUGAGCUAUGCUUUCCACCAAGUUGUCUCUAUAAGGACCAGUUCCAGGACCUCAGGGAGGAAAUUUCACUUUCUGCCUUGGUGGAAUGUGAAGUGAGUGGCUCCCCGGCCACACCCCACCCUCCAUAAAAUAGAAGGUAAAUCCCAACUGCCAAAAGCUUUUUGUCCUCCUCUCAGGGAUACUAAUUAAAGCAGUUGGGCUACUUUUUCAUGCAUUUCAUCUCAAGUUGUCUUUCUGCCUAUCUCCUGAGCCCAGCGAAAGAGUUCCUUAAAAUAACCCUCAAACCUCUGUAGUAAAGGACCACACAAAUAACGAAUGCCAUGAAAAAACAGGGCUAGAGGUUUCAGAGGAUGAGAAAGGAAGAGCAGCCAGAACACUGGCUGUCUAGGUAUGCUACUGGUGCCUGACUCUGCACCUGUGUGUGUCUGUGUGCUGUGUUCCAAUGGCAGAGCAUCGGGGCCACCAGAACUCUCUCAGCUACCGCACAUGGAGAGGGAGGAGUGAUAAAGAGAAAUCAAGAAACUCAGUUUCUUUGAAAUGGAAAUCAAUAAACUCAGUUUCCUCAAAGUUCAAAAUACAUGAGACUGCCUACCCUCCUUGGAAGGCAAGGUGGGGCUUUCUGAAGCAAAUACCAGCUUUAAAAAAAAAUGUAUAUAUAUAUGAAGAUAUAUACAAAAAAAAAAUUUCCCCACAACCAGACAAUCAGAAUCAUCAAACCCAGAAGGGUUAAAGAAAAAGAAAAGGCCCAGGAAAGUAUGAUUGGUGGGGAUCAAAAGUAUCUCUCCACAGUGGUAAAUGAGAAUUCUCAAAAAGAGUAAAAUUAUAAUUCUCAUGCACAUAUAAAAUAAAUAUGUAUUACAGAUUUUACUUAAACCAUAUAGCUCAAAAUUAGCUAACAAGGAAGACAUUAUAACCUGUUCAAAGAGAAGCCAAAGAAGGGAAAUUUAUAUGCUGUAAAGAAAUAUUUAAAGGAAUAUGGCAAAACUGACUCUUAAUAGGAGAUGCCCUAUGUGGUACAUAAUUUGUUUGUGUAUCUACACACAUGAAUUAUUUUGCACUUGUAUCACUAUCUACAACUUACACUGUUGUAAAGUAACUCCCACACAAUCAGAAUCAUAUAACCCAAAAAGGUAUCUUCCCUAACCAAACAAGGUUUUCCAAUAAAGCACUAUUUUGUCUCACAUUGCCAUAUUUUAAUGGCCUUUGAAAAUAUUAUUUCUAGAAAAGGGUUUGAAGGAAAUUUGGUUGGACUUGACUUUUGUACCCUUGUUAUCAUUAUCAUUAUUAUUAGUGGUAAUUGUAGUUCCCUGCUGAGACUAAGCACUCAGCUCUUGAAAUGCCAAUCUCAAGACUUUUUCUUCCAAAGCUUCCAGAAAUAAUGGAAGAAUGUGUAGGCUGCAUGCACAAUGAAAGCCAGUAAGUAGAGGAAGACUCUACAAAGUUAUGUUUGUUUCAGAAACAGUAGUAGUGACAAAAAUAUAUGAAGAUAUGCAAUAGGACUAAGUUAAAGUAACAUGCAAUUAUUUCUAAAACUCAGAAUUGUAUUUUACCCAUCUGAUUCUGCCAGGUUUUGUUUCCAUGAGACAUGCAGUCUCAUGGAGAGAUAAACGCAGUCUUGGGUUGGCUGAUGAUGUUUUGGGGACAGCCACAUUAUUUUAAUAUUAAUUUUAUUCUUAUUUAACAUAGUUUUAGUACUGCUGAUGUGGAAUAUUCUUAACAAUGUCUGUUUUUUGGGAAAUAAUAAGCUUAAAAUCUUGAUAACUGCUUCUGGGGCAGCAGUCAGGGCCUAGCUCCUCUCUGAGACUCCAGAGGUCAUGCUUAUCCAGUCAAGGCAACUUUUCAAGGCAAGUAGGAUCCAGGAUUCCUGUCAAGUAAGUGGGCUCAGUCCUGACUGACAAACAAACAAGCACAAAAACAACCCCUCCCCACAAAAAAACACACAUACAAGCUUGGGUGGAAAGCCAGUAUACAGUACCUGAGGAAAGACAAGAAGAGCAAACUGAAAAGAAACCAGAGAGGCUAAGAAAAUAGCCUAGAUAAAAGGAAAAUGGUGAUGAAGAUAUUCAAAAGUACCUCUCUGAUAGUUACACCAUCCUGCAUUCAGAGUCCAUGUUUCAUAUUAUAAUCUUCUCACUGCCUUUGUCUUUGUUUUUUUU
RNAcentral lists this long non-coding RNA (4743 nucleotides) under Homo sapiens (human). RNAcentral describes it as "HSALNT0409476". The record is from RNAcentral. Lineage: Eukaryota; Metazoa; Chordata; Mammalia; Primates; Hominidae.